UAUAUUCUAUGAAGCAUUUAUUUUUACUAAUAUGAAUUAGUAUCAUGUUAUGAUUAUAUGUUCAAACAUUAAAUGAUUGAUUAUCAUGACAUGUGAUUGCGAAUUACCAUAUGUAUACCCUUCCAUGUAGGCUUUGCGCAUGUGUAUUCAGAAUUAGAUCACUCUACUCGCGCGAUAUAGUUAAAUUCUACUAUGUAUUGAAAGGUUUUUCCCCUGCUCUGCUUGCACGAUGAUGAUCACGCGAGUAUGAUAGUUAUUCCCCUGGGUACUCUUUGGUACAGUUUGUCAUGUAUGUAUGUAUGAUAUUUCAUGUUUGCUUAUAUAUUAUGUUCAACGUGGAGUUAUGUCAUAUGAUUAUAUAUAAGUAUUAGUACACUACUUUAUACAUACAUACAUACAUAUAUAUAUAUAUAUAUCUACUUACUGAGCCACAAGCUCACUAUUUUCCUAUUUACCUCAUUUUUUCUAAGUUUCCUUAGGACUUUGUGUAGCUCAGUUUCUAAUUAGUUGAGGUUGGACCACAACAUUCACUACUGCAUGACUUGUAUUUUGAGCAUGAGAUGUCAAUUGUGCAAGUUUUGAAUAUAUUUUUGGAGGAGGCAUAGAUGUUUCUAUAUGAUUACAGUAGGGGCCCAAGGCCAAUUUUAUAUAUCCAUAAAUUAGAUUUAUGUCAUGAGAUCUAUAUAUUAGAUUGCAUGAUUCGCCUCGGAUCUAGCAGAUGAUCGGGCCGGGUCCUGUUAGCCUUUAUUUUUAAUGUUUUUUUGCUGCCAUUCUCUAUAAUAUUCAAUCAAGAAUCGUUUGUAAGUAAGUUUGCAGACAUCAUUUUUAUCAUUACCACAGUGGUGAUGCUAUCGCCCAACUGAUAGCAAUGGGCACUGGAUGAUGGCAGCAUCAGCCGAUAGAUGGGCGCCAUUGGCCAAGCAAUGGUAGCGGCCAAUGGUUGAUAGAUGGAUGCCAUCGCCCAAGUGAUUGUAUUGGGCGAUGGUGCCAUCGUCUAGGCGAUGGAGGCAGGUGAUGGUGUCAUUGCUAAUGAUGAUGGAGGUGAUUGUAUCCAUCGCCCACAAUCUCAGUGUGGGCAAUGUGGAUGAUGGAAGCCAUCAUUUUGUUCUAAAUAUUUUGGUCCAGAAUAAGUAUGCUAUAUGUAGUUAAAAAUGUAUGAAAUUUAGUUGUGCAGUUAGUUUUGAUAAUGAAUAUUUGAAACUGUUUACAUAGCUAAAUUUCCCAAUAUUAUAAAACAUCGUGCCCAUAAUCCAAGAGUCAAAAUCUGUGCAGGCUAAGUAAUUAUUAUUUAUAGUCACACACGCAAGUUAUAGCCAACGCAACUAGAGAUAUUGAACCACAUACGUAAAAUUCAACUCAAGUAGAUGGGCGACGCUUUGAAAAUCGAACCAAUCCAAUUCAAUGAAUAGAGGAUAAAACCCAUGAAGUUGACUUUUUGAGAACCCAUGCCACCACCUUCACCUGAUGCUGCAAUGAAGUUGAGUUUUUGUUCAACUGAAUUAAUGGGGUGGAAAUGCUUCAGCCGACUCAGCUUUAGUGCACCGCCGCAGUACUCCGUUUAUUCAUGACUGAGUUUUUGGCUUCAUCGAAUAAUUGAUUUAUAAUUAGGAAGCAUGGGUUGUGAUCGGCACUCAGAAAAUUAGAACACACGUAAAAUAAUAGGCGAAGAAAACAUAAUGCAAGGAGUAAUAGAGAUGAGCGUAUAUACAGAGCUGAGUAUCAUUAUCAUAUUGAUUAAUAUUUCUCAUAAAAUUCUAAACUGCAAACUCGAGGGUUGCAGCUUUUAAAAUUGGGGGAACUUCUGCAAUAGGCACAGUUAAUUAAAAGCAUUACUUAAUGAUGUCAGUAAAUAUGGGUAUUUUUAAAGGAACAAAUGUUUGCUUAGUCUUUAUAUUUUAAGUUAAUUAUUUGUUUAGUC
RNAcentral lists this long non-coding RNA (1918 nucleotides) under Citrus x clementina. Its description in RNAcentral is "Citrus clementina (C. clementina) long non-coding RNA (CCLE_LNC005423)". The record is from RNAcentral. Lineage: Eukaryota; Viridiplantae; Streptophyta; Magnoliopsida; Sapindales; Rutaceae.